RNAcentral lists this ribosomal RNA (462 nucleotides) under uncultured bacterium. RNAcentral's name for it is "bacterial SSU rRNA". It matches the Rfam family "Bacterial small subunit ribosomal RNA", at positions 28 to 507 of the family's 1533-position model. The record is from RNAcentral.
GACGAACGCUGGCGGCGUGCUUAACACAUGCAAGUCGAGCGAUGAAAUUCUCUUCGGAGAAUGGAUUAGCGGCGGACGGGUGAGUAACACGUGGGUAACCUGCCUUAUAGUGGGGGAUAGCCUUUCGAAAGGAAGAUUAAUACCGCAUAAUAUUGUAGUUUCGCAUGAAACAACAAUUAAAGAUUUAUCGCUGUAAGAUGGACCCGCGGCGCAUUAGCUAGUUGGUGGGGUAACGGCCUACCAAGGCGACGAUGCGUAGCCGACCUGAGAGGGUGAUCGGCCACAUUGGGACUGAGACACGGCCCAGACUCCUACGGGAGGCAGCAGUGGGGAAUAUUGCACAAUGGGGGAAACCCUGAUGCAGCAACGCCGCGUGAGUGAUGACAGUCUUCGGAUUGUAAAGCUCUGUCUUUAGGGACGAUAAUGACGGUACCUAAGGAGGAAGCCACGGCUAACUACGUG